UCGGGAAUUUUGGGCAAUGGGCGAAAGCCUGACCCAGCAACGCCGCGUGAGGGAUGAAGUAUUUCGGUAUGUAAACCUCGAAAGAAUGGGAAGAAUAAAUGACGGUACCAUUUAUAAGCUCCGGCUAACUACGUGCCAGCAGCCGCGGUAAUACGUAGGGAGCAAGCGUUGUUCGGAUUUACUGGGCGUAAAGGGCGCGUAGGCGGCGCGGUAAGUCACUUGUGAAAUCUCUGAGCUUAACUCAGAACGGCCAAGUGAUACUGCUGUGCUAGAGUGCGGAAGAGGCAACCGGAAUUCUUGGUGUAGCGGUGAAAUGCGUAGAUAUCAAGAGGAACACCUGAGGCGAAGACGGGUUACUGGGCCGACACUGACGCUGAUGCGCGAAAGCCAGGGGAGCAAACG
RNAcentral lists this ribosomal RNA (402 nucleotides) under uncultured bacterium. RNAcentral describes it as "bacterial SSU rRNA". It matches the Rfam family "Bacterial small subunit ribosomal RNA", at positions 355 to 774 of the family's 1533-position model. The record is from RNAcentral.